GAAAAUGGACUAGAUACUGCCCAAACGAUUGUGCCAAUAGAUAAAAGAAAAAGAACUACAAUAAGUCCAAACAAAAAAGAGUAAAAAUUGGUUGCAAGAGAAAAGGAUAGAAAUUUCAAUCUUCUUUGCUAAAAAUUACUUAUCUCAAGACCUCUCUAAUCCGUAUCAACAGAUCCAAAAACUUGUAUUACACACCGUUACUGCAAGAUCACGGGAAAAUUGCCUAUUCACGCCGCAUCAACUUAGUCAUCCUUUUUCAGUUUAAAUUUGCUUCGACAUAGCUGUAAGGAACCACGUGGUAUGCAUAUUGCAGCAGAACAGAAAAGAAAACCAUCUCCACACAAAUUAAAACAUUCUGAAUGGUUUCCUGAAGGUGCUCUGCAUCCAGCCAAAAAUGGUGAGAUUUGAUAACUAGAAUUUUAACGAGCAACCCCUGCAAAGUCGGAGAUGAACAAUUUAUUGCACCAGUGGUGGUAAAAACAUAUCUCGGGCAAAGCAUCAAAUGGAGAGAGAGGCUUCCUUACAGAAACAACACAACGAAGAACCAAUACCUCUUUUUUGGGAAGUUGAAAGAACCUCAAUAGUAAUGGAAUGCAAGUCAAAGAGGAUCUAAACAGGAUUCAACUUUUUAAUGGUGAUGUUUUUGUAUCCUUUUCUUGAUGGCCUAGAGGUUCAGUGGCUCGUGAUUUGAAACUCAGUGGAUAUGGAGCCUUUCUCCACUUAAAUACCUUGUUUGUGUGCAGCAGGGUUUCAACUCAUAACGCGAGCCUAACCCAACAAUCUAACUUCAGACACCUCAAUCAUGUUUGGGGCUAAAGUUAAGACACAAACUAUAUAUGCACGAUUUUAGAAGCUUCCACUAAAAUUUGUAACGACGAUUCAAUGAGAUCACCAAUAUACAUAUAUCAUCAACAAAAGCUUUCUUCUUUCAGUUUUUGUAAUAUAAGGUUUUUCUCUGUGUUGCUUUUUUGUAAUCACAAAAUCAUAAUUAGCAAAAAAAAAAAAAAGUAGGUAACAUCGCAUAUUUGAAACUCUCACAGUUUUGAGAACCAUGAAAACAAGCAUAUAAUAUUCAUAUCUGCCGACGCUUCAAGAGCAUCUGCCAGUAACACGAACUGAGAUUUUAUCUCGUGUUUCGUGAACAUCGCUACUCGAAAAGCUUGAUAUUGGAGGUUUUGUAGGCAAACGAUGAGGACGGUGAAGUCGGGUCGGAAAAUGACCGGAUGAAAAUUGCCAUGACCCCCUCAAGGUGAACGAGGGAGAAAUAAGUCCGGAAAAAAAGCCUAAAAUAUCAUUUAAAAUAUUGUAAAUGCUGUAAAUUAUUCUUUA
RNAcentral lists this unclassified non-coding RNA (1329 nucleotides) under Hevea brasiliensis (rubber tree). The record is from RNAcentral. Lineage: Eukaryota; Viridiplantae; Streptophyta; Magnoliopsida; Malpighiales; Euphorbiaceae.